This is a transfer RNA of Galdieria sulphuraria, 88 nucleotides long. It matches the Rfam family "tRNA". From Rfam's summary of the family: Transfer RNA (tRNA) molecules are approximately 80 nucleotides in length. The record is from Rfam. Lineage: Eukaryota; Rhodophyta; Bangiophyceae; Galdieriales; Galdieriaceae.
GGUCCCAUGGUGUAAUGGUUAGAAACGUUGUUGACCCACACGACAGACUUUGAAUCUGUAGAUCCGAGUUCAAUUCUCGGUGGGACCU